GGUCCACCUGCGGACCUAACAAGGCAGGACGGCGGGAGACGGCGACCUCCUAAAACGCCUA
Molecule: non-coding RNA, 61 nt
Filed under: unclassified sequences
Description: GP20-b RNA
Rfam family: GP20-b RNA
Source: RNAcentral